GUCGUUGUGUGGGCAAGCGGUUUUUUCAUGUCAACGUUUUGAACAGUGUGGAUAGGUCUUUGUCAUUCAACAGCAUCACCUUCAGUCUAUCCUGGUGGUAUUUGAGUCACAUAUACAUGGCCAGCGCUGUUCAUCCCCCGCCGAAAUGCUUUGACCCGGACAGUUGUUGUUCUGCGCGUUGGCUUGUUUUAGUGGAAGACGCAUCAAGCAAGCAAGGGUUGGCUUUAUUCUGCUGGACAGACACUUCAGAAACUUGAAUCAGUGAUGCUAUUUUACCAAGAGACUCAAUUAGCGACUCCAUUACUUUGCGCUUGCGCAAGGACGAAUCAGGCAGAAAUCAAUGGAAAAUUGAAAAAGAAUGAUGUUGAACCCCUGCCCGGAUGAAACCUCUCUCCUGAAUGACACAAUUGAUCAGUCACGCUCACCCAUCCUCAGCUACAGUGCUGCCACAUUCCAUCAACAUGGCGGGAAGUAUUCUCCUCACCAAAGAGCUCAACACUGGAAAUUGACACAAUGUUGCAAUUGCAACAUCAACUACGCAAUUACCUAACUAACUACACUAACUACCUUUUUUUAUGUAGCGGUUGUUAUUGCUGUAGCCUAUACAUUUUCAUUUUUUCACACCUGUCACUAAUCCUGAUGUGUCCCAGAAACAUUGAUUUUGUUGUAAAUUUCUAUUUACUUACAUUUCAUUUGAACAUGUUUGUGUUUUUUGAGCAAAUUGUUGUUAUUAUAAUGUAUCAUUUUAUAUCUGGACGUGGUCCAAUUUGUACAACUCAGAGCAGGUUAUUGUCUCGUUGUCAAAAUGUGGUAUAAGCACAUUCAUAAUUUUUUUUUUUACAAUACCUCAUAUUAAUGGCACUUUACUUAAGGUGUCUGUGCGCACUGUGCAUAUGACAUGGUUUUGACACCUAGGAUUUCAAUCAAUGUAAUAAUGUGGUUGUGACAUAGAGGUUGGUAAAUUAAAUAACACCCUGUUAUAAAAUAUUGUAUGUAGACUUAUGUAGAAUGUAAUAACAUAUGACAAAAGUUGUCAUGCAGACUAUGUAAUAGCAGUCGUUAAUAACGGUUGAUAUUAGAGCAUAUGAUAACAGGACGAACAGUCAUCUAUAAUGCAAAUGUUAACUAGUUUUAUAACAUCAUAUGGG
Oncorhynchus tshawytscha (Chinook salmon) is the source of this 1148-nucleotide long non-coding RNA. Lineage: Eukaryota; Metazoa; Chordata; Actinopteri; Salmoniformes; Salmonidae. The record is from Ensembl.